This 72-nucleotide transfer RNA is filed under the name Camelus bactrianus (Bactrian camel). It matches the Rfam family "tRNA". From Rfam's summary of the family: Transfer RNA (tRNA) molecules are approximately 80 nucleotides in length. Their secondary structure includes four short double-helical elements and three loops (D, anti-codon, and T loops). Lineage: Eukaryota; Metazoa; Chordata; Mammalia; Artiodactyla; Camelidae. RNAcentral also lists the same sequence under 2 other names. The record is from Rfam by way of RNAcentral.
GAGAGUAUAGCUUAGUGGUAGAGUGUAUGCUUAGCAUGCACAAGGUCCUGGUCUCAAUCCCCAGUACCUCCA